This is a long non-coding RNA of Cebus imitator (Panamanian white-faced capuchin), 258 nucleotides long. RefSeq lists it as uncharacterized. Lineage: Eukaryota; Metazoa; Chordata; Mammalia; Primates; Cebidae. The record is from RefSeq and is a predicted model, not a curated record. The transcript is spliced from 3 exons.
AAGUUUACCUGUUCCGUAUCUGAGUUCAAGUCCUGGAUAUCGAUGUUAACUUUCUGUCUCAUUGAUCUGUCUAAUAUUGAUGUUGAAGUCUCCCACUAUUAUUGUGUGGGGGUCUAAGUCUCCUUAUAAAUCUUAUAUAUCUGAGUAUUCCUGUACUGGGUGCGUAUAUAUUUAGGAUCUUUAGCUCUUCUUGUUACAUUGAUCCUUUUAUCAUUAUGUAAUAUCCUUCUUUGCUUCUUUUGAUUUUUGCUGCUUUAA